This 416-nucleotide ribosomal RNA is filed under the name uncultured eukaryote. RNAcentral's name for it is "SSU rRNA". It matches the Rfam family "Eukaryotic small subunit ribosomal RNA", at positions 567 to 972 of the family's 1831-position model. The record is from RNAcentral.
CCAGCAGCUGCGGUAAUUCCAGCUCCAAUAGCGUAUAUUAAUGUUGUUGCAGUUAAAAAGUUCGUAGUUGAAUUUCUGGAGUUGAUUUAUGGUCCGAGUGUCUUAUUCAUUUAAGCCUUGCGUACCGUUUUUACUCAAUCUCCAUCUUAGUAGUGAGUGUAACUGGCAUUAGGUUGUCGGAUGCAGGAGCUGCUUCGUUUACUGUGAAUAAAAUAGAGUGUUUAAGGCAGGCAUUACGCCUUGAAUACUUCAGCAUGGAAUAAAAUUAUAGGACUUAGGUGCUAUUUUAUUGGUUUGCACACCUAGUAAUGAUUAAUAGGGACAGUUGGGGGUAUUCAUAUUUGAUUGUCAGAGGUGGAAUUCUUGGAUUUAUGAAAGAUGAACUUAUGCGAAAGCAUUUACCAAGGAUGGUUUCA